UCGAUAAUCCGUAUAAAUAUUGGUUUUUUGCUUAGUGUCAAUUUAAUACCGUAUUCUAUCUUAAGUGAUAUAAUGAAGUUCACAGCUCUAUUUUUGGCUAUAGUUUUGACAUUGGCCCUUUUGAUGGUCAGUGAGGCAGAAGCAGGAGGUGACUUCAAGAAAUGUGAAGAAAACCUAUUAAUUUAAUGUAAUUUGUCAAUUAAUUAGGAAAGCGCAAGCUCAAAAAGACAUUGGAGUUCUAGAAGCGGAAGUAUAUGAAUUAUCUCAACAGAUGAGCAACGCAGAGACAGCUGAAAGGAAAAAAGAGUUGGUGCAAGAAAAGAAAUUGUACAUGGUAAUUGGAGGAUUGAAAUAGUAUAAUUCCCAGUAAUCGACAGACGAAUGAAGGUCAAAUAUGCAAAACCAUAGAAAAAUUAUAUUUUGUUUAAUCGCUUGAUUUCCAAUAUUCAAAAUGUUAAAAUUUCCAAAUAAUAAUAAAUGAAUGUGGUUGAAAAGUGUA
Molecule: long non-coding RNA, 499 nt
Organism: Contarinia nasturtii (swede midge)
Lineage: Eukaryota; Metazoa; Arthropoda; Insecta; Diptera; Cecidomyiidae
Exons: 6
Source: RefSeq, a predicted model, not a curated record